CGAACGCUGGCGGCGUGCUUAACACAUGCAAGUCGAACGCGAAAGGGACUUCGGUCCUGAGUAAAGUGGCGCACGGGUGAGUAACGCGUAGAUAACCUGUCUUCAUGUCUGGAAUAAUACGCCGAAAGGGAUACUAAUACCGGAUAUUCUUGCUUUUCAUAAGUUAUGCAAGCAAAGGUGGCCUCUGCAUAUGCUACUGCAUGAAGAGGGGUCUGCGUACCAUUAGCUAGUAGGUGGGGUAAUGGCCUACCUAGGCGACGAUGGUUAGCGGGUCUGAGAGGAUGAUCCGCCACACUGGCACUGGAACACGGGCCAGACUCCUACGGGAGGCAGCAGUGAGGAAUAUUGCGCAAUGGGGGAAACCCUGACGCAGCGACGCCGCGUGAGUGAGGAAGGCCUUCGGGUCGUAAAGCUCUGUCAAGAGGAAAGAAGUGUACAAUGGCUAAUACCUGUUGUAUUUGACGGUACCUCUAAAGGAAGCACCGGCUAACUCCGUGCCAGCCGCCGC
Molecule: ribosomal RNA, 508 nt
Filed under: uncultured bacterium
Lineage: Bacteria
Description: bacterial SSU rRNA
Rfam family: Bacterial small subunit ribosomal RNA
Source: RNAcentral